GUCAUUGACAAGAAAAGAUGAAAUCUUAAAUAUAUUUUGAUGAAAGAGUAGAACUGCUAGUUAUUCGCGAAGAUGAGAGGGCUCCAUGGGCUGUCUUUUUCCUUUAGAGAAAAAGAGGGCACAAGGGGUGAUUUAAGUGAUCAGAAGCAUGAAAAAAAAUGAGAAGAAGUUUGUAUUCGUGAGAGAUGUAUGCAAUUUCCACGAUCCUUUUCUCAAAUCAA
Molecule: unclassified non-coding RNA, 221 nt
Filed under: Hevea brasiliensis (rubber tree)
Lineage: Eukaryota; Viridiplantae; Streptophyta; Magnoliopsida; Malpighiales; Euphorbiaceae
Source: RNAcentral